Molecule: ribosomal RNA, 498 nt
Filed under: uncultured bacterium
Lineage: Bacteria
Description: bacterial SSU rRNA
Rfam family: Bacterial small subunit ribosomal RNA
Source: RNAcentral
AAAUGAAUUGACGGGGGCCCGCACAAGCGGUGGAGCAUGUGGUUUAAUUCGACGCAACGCGAAGAACCUUACCAGGUCUUGACAUCCCCUGAGAGCAUCAGAGAUGAUGUGUUUAAUCUUCGGAUUGACAGGGAGACAGGUGGUGCAUGGUUGUCGUCAGCUCGUGUCGUGAGAUGUUGGGUUAAGUCCCGCAACGAGCGCAACCCUUAUUCUUAGUUGCCAGCAUGAAAGAUGGGCACUCUAAGGAGACUGCCGGUGACAAACCGGAGGAAGGUGGGGAUGACGUCAAAUCAUCAUGCCCUUUAUGACCUGGGCUACACACGUGCUACAAUGGCCUGUACAAAGGGUAGCGAAGCAGUGAUGCGGAGCCAAUCCCAAAAAGCAGGUCUCAGUUCGGAUUGCAGGCUGCAACUCGCCUGCAUGAAGUCGGAAUCGCUAGUAAUCGCGGAUCAGCAUGCCGCGGUGAAUACGUUCCCGGGCCUUGUACACACCGCCCGU